UCCCAAAGAGAUUCUUUCUCCAGGGGACAAAUCAUAUACUCUAGGAAUGUAGCUCCUUGGGAAAACAGCUGAUAUUCUUGAGAAUACUGUAGGUGAGCAUAUGU
RNAcentral lists this small nucleolar RNA (104 nucleotides) under Myotis lucifugus (little brown bat). RNAcentral describes it as "Small nucleolar RNA SNORA67 (ENSMLUG00000020990.1)". The record is from RNAcentral. Lineage: Eukaryota; Metazoa; Chordata; Mammalia; Chiroptera; Vespertilionidae.